Gallus gallus (chicken) is the source of this 147-nucleotide small nuclear RNA. Its record names the gene U2. It matches the Rfam family "U2 spliceosomal RNA". Rfam says of the family: U2 is a small nuclear RNA (snRNA) component of the spliceosome (involved in pre-mRNA splicing). Complementary binding between U2 snRNA (in an area lying towards the 5' end but 3' to hairpin I) and the branchpoint sequence (BPS) of the intron results the bulging out of an unpaired adenosine, on the BPS, which initiates a nucleophilic attack at the intronic 5' splice site, thus starting the first of two transesterification reactions that mediate splicing. The record is from Ensembl. NCBI's taxonomy places the organism in Eukaryota, Metazoa, Chordata, Aves, Galliformes, Phasianidae.
UUUGUCUCUUGCCCACUUGACUAAAAUCAAGUGUAGUAUCUGCUCUUACCAGAUUAAUAUCUGAUAUGUCCUCAGUUGAGAGGAAAAUUUUUUUUGAUCGGGUGCUGGAAUGGGCUGCCCAGGAAGGUGAUUGAGUCACCACCUCUG